This 503-nucleotide ribosomal RNA is filed under the name uncultured bacterium. RNAcentral's name for it is "partial 16S ribosomal RNA". It matches the Rfam family "Bacterial small subunit ribosomal RNA", at positions 30 to 523 of the family's 1533-position model. The record is from RNAcentral.
AUUGAACGCUGGCGGCAGGCUUAACACAUGCAAGUCGAGCGGGGUGAUGGUGCUUGCACUAUCACUUAGCGGCGGACGGGUGAGUAAUGCUUAGGAAUCUGCCUAUUAGUGGGGGACAACAUCUCAAGAGGGAUGCUAAUACCGCAUACGUCCUACGGGAGAAAGCAGGGGAUCACUUGUGACCUUGCGCUAAUAGAUGAGCCUAAGUCGGAUUAGCUAGUUGGUGGGGUAAAGGCCUACCAAGGCGACGAUCUGUAGCGGGUCUGAGAGGAUGAGCCGCCACACUGGGACUGAGACACGGCCCAGACUCCUACGGGAGGCAGCAGUGGGGAAUAUUGGACAAUGGGGGGAACCCUGAUCCAGCCAUGCCGCGUGUGUGAAGAAGGCCUUAUGGUUGUAAAGCACUUUAAGCGAGGAGGAGGCUCUUUUGGUUAAUACCCAAGAUGAGUGGACGUUACUCGCAGAAUAAGCACCGGCUAACUCUGUGCCAGCCGCCGCCGUAA